This 494-nucleotide ribosomal RNA is filed under the name uncultured bacterium. Its description in RNAcentral is "partial 16S ribosomal RNA". It matches the Rfam family "Bacterial small subunit ribosomal RNA", at positions 28 to 507 of the family's 1533-position model. The record is from RNAcentral.
GACGAACGCUGGCGGCGUGCUUAACACAUGCAAGUCGAACGGUGAAGCGCCUUCCUUUUUGGUGGGUGUGGAUGAAUGGCCAACGGGGGAGUAACACGUUAGUAACCUGCCCCCUUCUUCUGGAUAACCGCAUGAAAGUGUGGCUAAUACGGGAUAUUCUGGGUCUGUCGCAUGAUGGGUCUGGGAAAGUUUUUGUUUCGGUGGGGGAUGGGCUCGCGGCCUAUCAGCUUGUUGGUGGGGUGAUGGCCUACCAAGGCGGUGACGGGUAGCCGGCCUGAGAGGGUGGACGGUCACACUGGGACUGAGACACGGCCCAGACUCCUACGGGAGGCAGCAGUGGGGAAUAUUGCACAAUGGGCGCAAGCCUGAUGCAGCGACGCCGCGUGAGGGAUGGAGGCCUUCGGGUUGUGAACCUCUUUCGCCAGUGAAGCAGGCCUGCCUCGUUUGUGGGUGGGUUGACGGUAGCUGGAUAAGAAGCGCCGGCUAACUACGUG